This 76-nucleotide transfer RNA is filed under the name Deltaproteobacteria bacterium. RNAcentral describes it as "tRNA-Val". It matches the Rfam family "tRNA". From Rfam's summary of the family: Transfer RNA (tRNA) molecules are approximately 80 nucleotides in length. Their secondary structure includes four short double-helical elements and three loops (D, anti-codon, and T loops). RNAcentral also lists the same sequence under 1 other name. Lineage: Bacteria; Pseudomonadati; Myxococcota; Myxococcia. The record is from RNAcentral.
GGGGCGUUAGCUCAGUUGGUAGAGCACCGUGUUCACACCGCGGGGGUCACUGGUUCGAGUCCAGUACGCCCCACCA